GAUGAAGAACGCAGCGAAAUGCGAUACGUAAUGUGAAUUGCAGAAUUCAGUGAAUCAUCGAAUCUUUGAACGCGCAUUGCGCCUGCCAGCACUCUGGCAGGCAUGCCUGUUCGAGCGUCAUUUCAACCAUCAAGCCCUAGGCUUGCGUUGGAGCCCUGCGGCUGCCGCAGGCCCCUAAAAGCAGUGGCGGGCUCGCUAUCACACCGAGUGCAGUAGAUUACUCUUCGCUCAGGGCGUGUGGCGGGUUCCAGCCGUGAAACCCCCUACUACUCAAGGUUGACCUCGGAUCAGGUAGGAAUACCCGCUGAACUUAAGCAUAUCAAUAAGCGGAGGA
RNAcentral lists this unclassified non-coding RNA (334 nucleotides) under soil metagenome. RNAcentral describes it as "partial contains 5.8S ribosomal RNA, internal transcribed spacer 2, and large subunit ribosomal RNA". The stretch from base 1 to 120 matches the Rfam family "5.8S ribosomal RNA", at positions 35 to 154 of the family's 154-position model. The record is from RNAcentral.